GGUGAGGUAACGGCUCACCAAGGCAACGAUACAUAGCCGACCUGAGAGGGUGAUCGGCCACACUGGGACUGAGACACGGCCCAGACUCCUACGGGAGGCAGCAGUAGGGAAUCUUCCGCAAUGGACGAAAGUCUGACGGAGCAACGCCGCGUGAGUGAAGAAGGUUUUCGGAUCGUAAAACUCUGUUGUAAGGGNAGAACAAGUACGUUAGUAACUGAACGUACGUUGACGGUACUCUUACCAGAA
RNAcentral lists this ribosomal RNA (246 nucleotides) under Macrococcoides caseolyticum. Its description in RNAcentral is "Macrococcus caseolyticus partial 16S ribosomal RNA". It matches the Rfam family "Bacterial small subunit ribosomal RNA", at positions 251 to 488 of the family's 1533-position model. Lineage: Bacteria; Bacillati; Bacillota; Bacilli; Caryophanales; Staphylococcaceae. The record is from RNAcentral.